RNAcentral lists this ribosomal RNA (453 nucleotides) under Actinomyces sp. canine oral taxon 252. Its description in RNAcentral is "bacterial SSU rRNA". It matches the Rfam family "Bacterial small subunit ribosomal RNA", at positions 9 to 456 of the family's 1533-position model. Lineage: Bacteria; Bacillati; Actinomycetota; Actinomycetes; Actinomycetales; Actinomycetaceae. The record is from RNAcentral.
GAGUUUGAUUAUGGCUCAGGACGAACGCUGGCGGCGUGCUUAACACAUGCAAGUCGAACGGGAUCCAAGUGGGCUUGCUUGCUUGGUGAGAGUGGCGAACGGGUGAGUAACACGUGAGUAACCUGCCCCCUUCUUUGGGAUAACGACCAGAAAUGGUUGCUAAUACUGAAUAUUCACGCAUUGUCGCAUGGUGGUGUGUGGAAAGGUUUUUCUGGUGGGGGAUGGGCUCGCGGCCUAUCAGCUUGUUGGUGGGGUGAUGGCCUACCAAGGCUUUGACGGGUAGCCGGCCUGAGAGGGUGACCGGUCACACUGGGACUGAGAUACGGCCCAGACUCCUACGGGAGGCAGCAGUGGGGAAUAUUGCACAAUGGGCGAAAGCCUGAUGCAGCGACGCCGCGUGAGGGAUGACGGCCUUCGGGUUGUAAACCUCUUUCAGUAAGGACGCAGGCCUAG